RNAcentral lists this ribosomal RNA (200 nucleotides) under uncultured Staphylococcus sp. RNAcentral's name for it is "partial 16S ribosomal RNA". It matches the Rfam family "Bacterial small subunit ribosomal RNA", at positions 160 to 354 of the family's 1533-position model. The record is from RNAcentral. Lineage: Bacteria; Bacillati; Bacillota; Bacilli; Caryophanales; Staphylococcaceae.
CCGGAAUUAAAUUAUUUACCGAACCGCAGUUGGUUCGAUAGUAGAAGGUGUUUUGCUAUCACUUAUAGAUGGACCCGCGCCGUAUUAGCUAGUUGGUAAGGUAACGGCUUACCAAGGCGACGAUACGUAGCCGACCUGAGAGGGUGAUCGGCCACACUGGAACUGAGACACGGUCCAGACUCCUACGGGAGGCAGCAGGA